AACGAACGCUGGCGGCAUGCCUAACACAUGCAAGUCGAACGAGACCUUCGGGUCUAGUGGCGCACGAGUGCGUAACGCGUGGGAACCUGCCCUUAGGUUCGGAAUAACUCCCCGAAAGGGGUGCUAAUACCGGAUAAUGUCUUCGGACCAAAGAUUUAUCGCCUUUGGAUGGGCCCGCGUUGGAUUAGCUAGUUGGUAGGGUAAAAGCCUACCAAGGCGACGAUCCAUAGCUGGUCUGAGAGGAUGAUCAGCCACACUGGGACUGAGACACGGCCCAGACUCCUACGGGAGGUGGCAGUAGGGAAUAUUGGACAAUGCGCGAAAGCCUGAUCCAGCAAUGCCGCGUGAGUGAUGAAGGCCUUAGGGUUGUAAAGCUCUUUUAACCGGGAUGAUAAUGACAGUACCGGGAGAAUAAGCUCCGGCUAACUCCGUG
RNAcentral lists this ribosomal RNA (433 nucleotides) under uncultured bacterium. RNAcentral describes it as "partial 16S ribosomal RNA". It matches the Rfam family "Bacterial small subunit ribosomal RNA", at positions 29 to 507 of the family's 1533-position model. The record is from RNAcentral.